UCCAUGGCGACGUGGAAUCUGAAGGAAGCCCUAGGCAAAUCCUCGGUCUGAGGUACACGAAUCACAUUUGAGGUGGACUGUUUCAGGACGAGUUUGCAAAACAAAACAAAGUCCAAAAUAUCCCCGGAUGGAACAGACAUAAAUGUGGCAGAUAUAUGAGGAGAAAGUGGAUGAA
Non-coding RNA from Bacillus sp. NRRL B-14911, 175 nucleotides. Lineage: Bacteria; Bacillati; Bacillota; Bacilli; Caryophanales; Bacillaceae. The record is from Rfam.